RNAcentral lists this ribosomal RNA (253 nucleotides) under uncultured bacterium. Its description in RNAcentral is "partial 16S ribosomal RNA". It matches the Rfam family "Bacterial small subunit ribosomal RNA", at positions 524 to 776 of the family's 1533-position model. The record is from RNAcentral.
UACGUCGGGGGCGAGCGUUGUCCGGAAUCAUUGGGCGUAAAGCGCGUGUAGGCGGCUCGUUAAGUCCGGUGUGAAACCUUGGGGCUCAACCCCAAGCCUGCACUGGAUACUGACGAGCUCGAGUCCGGGAGGGGAGAGCGGAAUUCCUAGUGUAGCGGUGAAAUGCGCAGAUAUUAGGAAGAACACCGGUGGCGAAGGCGGCUCUCUGGAACGGUACUGACGCUGAGACGCGAAAGCGUGGGGAGCGAACAGG